AUCGAUGAAGAACGCAGCGAAAUGCGAUACGUAAUGUGAAUUGCAGAAUUCCGUGAAUCAUCGAAUCUUUGAACGCACCUUGCGCCUCUUGGUAUUCCGAGGGGCAUGCCUGUUUGAGUGUCUUUUGAAUAUCUCAAACUUGACCUUGUGGAACUUUCCUGAGGAUUAAGUUUGGAUUUUGGCGGUUGCCGAUUUUCAUCAUUUGUUUUGAGAAAGUUGGCUCCUCUAAAAAGCAUUAGCGGACAAGGAGAAAUCCAAUUCUUCUUUGGUUGCUGGUAUUGAUAAUCUGUCUAUGCCUGUAAAGACCCUUGAGGAGGAUUGUCUCUAUUUUGUUUGCUCAUAAAAAUAAAGGUCACCUUUUACGUGGUGAUUUUUUCUUGACAAAUUACCUCAAAUCAGGUAGGACUACCCGCUGAACUUAAGCAUAUCAAUAAGCGGAGGAAAAGAAACUAACAAGGAUUCCCCUAGUAACUGCGAGUGAAGCGGGAAAAGCUCAAAUUUAAAAUCUGGCAGUCUUUGUUGCUGCUCGAGUUGUAAUCUAGAGAAGUGCCUUCCGCGCUGGACCGUGUACAAGUCUCUUGGAAUGGAGCGUCGUAGAGGGUGACAAUCCCGUCUUUGACACGGACUACCAGGGCUUAUGUGAUGCGCUCUCGAAGAGUCGAGUUGUUUGGGAAUGCAGCUCAAAAUGGGUGGUAAAUUCCAUCUAAAGCUAAAUAUUGGCGAGAGACCGAUAGCGAACAAGUACCGUGAGGGAAAGAUGAAAAGAACUUUGAAAAGAGAGUUAAACAGUACGUGAAAUUGUUGAAAGGGAAACGAUUCAAGUCAGUCGCGUUGGCCGGUAAUCAACCCUUGCGAUUUAUUGCAAAGGCUUACUUUCUGGUUAACGGGUCAGCAUCAAUUUCGACCGUCAGAGAAAGGCUCGAUGAAUGUGGCAUCUUUGGAUGUGUUAUAGCUUCGAGUCGCAUGUGACGGUCGGGAUUGAGGAACUCGGCACGCCGAAAGGCCUGGGGCAUCCUUGCCCACGUAAACGUGCUUCGGAUGCUGGCGUAAUGGCUUGAACCGACCCGUCUUGAAACACGG
This 1080-nucleotide ribosomal RNA is filed under the name uncultured fungus. RNAcentral's name for it is "eukaryotic LSU rRNA". The stretch from base 386 to 1080 matches the Rfam family "Eukaryotic large subunit ribosomal RNA", at positions 1 to 664 of the family's 3401-position model. Lineage: Eukaryota; Fungi. The record is from RNAcentral.